CCUACGGGUGGCAGCAGUAGGGAAUAUUGCUCAAUGGGGGAAACCCUGAAGCAGCAACGCCGCGUGGAGGAUGAAGGUUUUCGGAUUGUAAACUCCUUUUGUUAGAGAAGAUAAUGACGGUAUCUAACGAAUAAGCACCGGCGAACUCCGGGCCAGCAGCCGCGGUAAUACGGAGGGUGCAAGCGUUACUCGGAAUGACUGGGCGUAAAGAGCGCGUAGGCGGGAUAGCAAGUCAGAUGUGAAAUCCUAUGGCUUAACCAUAGAACUGCAUUUGAAACUGUUAGUCUAGAGUAUGGGAGAGGUAGGUGGAAUUCUUGGUGUAGGGGUAAAAUGCGUAGAGAUCAAGAGGAAUACUCAUUGCGAAGGCGACCUGCUAGAACAUAACUGACGCUGAUGCGCGAAAGCGUGGGGAGCAAACAGGAUUAGAUACCCGAGUAGUC
RNAcentral lists this ribosomal RNA (440 nucleotides) under uncultured bacterium. RNAcentral describes it as "partial 16S ribosomal RNA". It matches the Rfam family "Bacterial small subunit ribosomal RNA", at positions 338 to 795 of the family's 1533-position model. The record is from RNAcentral.